GAAUGGGGUGAAUCCCUCUCUCUCCU
Molecule: transfer RNA, 26 nt
Filed under: Cronquistia pringlei
Lineage: Eukaryota; Viridiplantae; Streptophyta; Magnoliopsida; Asterales; Asteraceae
Description: partial tRNA-Ser
Source: RNAcentral